Molecule: long non-coding RNA, 523 nt
Filed under: Rattus norvegicus (Norway rat)
Lineage: Eukaryota; Metazoa; Chordata; Mammalia; Rodentia; Muridae
Description: long non-coding RNA NONRATT001860
Source: RNAcentral
CAAAAUGAGCAGCAGAUCCAGCAAGACUUCUGCAGAGAAAGAAAGACAGCAUGGUGCCCAAGUUCCCUCAUGGGAAGGUCUGGGAACAGUGUGCAUUCUUUGACCCGAAACCCUUCACCUUCUCUCCUGCGAGAAGCUGGCUGUGUUUCCAGAAAGUGCUCUACAGUGCCGCACAUCAGCCCUCGUCACCAUCACUAACGGAGGGACGCCCAGGCCUGGCAGCCCCACAACUCCAGUGUACUCCAAACCCUGCCCCAGUGCGGCUUCUCUCAAAGCAAAGACUGCUGCCGCCUGCCCGUCCCGCACAGUCAUGUAGGGGGUGUGAAAGGACACUGCCCAUCCUCAGCUUCCUUUUGAUCCUCGGAAGUGGCCAGAACUCUGCCUUCUGUAGGGUCAUAGGAGCUGAGAGGAGUUCUGAAUGCCGGAUGCCUGGUUGAUUCUUACUGGCUGUGGAUGCUUUGGUAACGCGUUUCCUCAGUGGCGCGAGGGAAGGAAUGACCAAAACUCCGAAGACCAAAGAAAA